ACCCCUGUGGCGCAACGGUCUAGCGCGUUGGACUUCUAAUUCAAAGGUUGUGGGUUCGAGUCCCAUCAGGGGUG
This 74-nucleotide transfer RNA is filed under the name Oopsacas minuta. RNAcentral describes it as "tRNA-Arg". It matches the Rfam family "tRNA". From Rfam's summary of the family: Transfer RNA (tRNA) molecules are approximately 80 nucleotides in length. Lineage: Eukaryota; Metazoa; Porifera; Hexactinellida; Lyssacinosida; Leucopsacidae. The record is from RNAcentral.